UGGGGUAUCGCCAAGCGGAAAGACACCGGAUUCUGAUUACGGCCUUCCGCGGAUCGAAUCCUCGUACACCAGCCA
RNAcentral lists this transfer RNA (75 nucleotides) under Salmonella enterica subsp. enterica serovar Paratyphi A. RNAcentral describes it as "tRNA-Gln". Lineage: Bacteria; Pseudomonadati; Pseudomonadota; Gammaproteobacteria; Enterobacterales; Enterobacteriaceae. The record is from RNAcentral.